This 109-nucleotide transfer RNA is filed under the name Anaerolineales bacterium. RNAcentral describes it as "tRNA-Lys". The record is from RNAcentral. Lineage: Bacteria; Bacillati; Chloroflexota; Anaerolineae; Anaerolineales.
UGAGCAAUGGGUGUGGUUGCCUCAACCAUCCCCAAGAUGUAUACUGCUACCAUCCAAACCAAUUGACUCUUAAUCAAUUGGUUCCAGGUUCAAGUCCUGGGCGGGUCAU